UGCAGGGCAGACGCACAAGAGCAGAAUCUCCGUGGGACAUCUCUCUGGAGCAUCAAUAUUACUGCAGUAUUUGGAAGAAACAAAUUUAAAUAAGUUCUAAGGUAAAGAAUGGAACAUUUAAGACAAGUCUGGAAAGUCAUCUGCCUUUAAUAACUGUCGUUUGUCCCUCACGUCAGACUUUCUCCAAGACAAAAACUCUAAGAACUUAUUUCCAUUCUUACAAAUAGUAAAAAUGAUAAAUCAUAUCAAGUCCAUUGAAAGUCCUGCCUGCUACUUUCCUAAAUCGCAAUAUGGCCUUGGUAUGGUUUUAUUUGUACUUUUGUGGGGGGUUCGUGGAUCUUUAGAU
RNAcentral lists this small RNA (346 nucleotides) under Pan troglodytes (chimpanzee). Its description in RNAcentral is "processed transcript". Lineage: Eukaryota; Metazoa; Chordata; Mammalia; Primates; Hominidae. The record is from RNAcentral.